AUUGAACGCUGGCGGCAUGCUUUACACAUGCAAGUCGAACGGUAACAGGUUAAGCUGACGAGUGGCGAACGGGUGAGUAAUGCAUCGGAACGUGCCCGAUCGUGGGGGAUAACGCAGCGAAAGCUGCGCUAAUACCGCAUGCGAUCUGAGGAUGAAAGCGGGGGACCGUAAGGCCUCGCGCGAUCGGAGCGGCCGAUGUCAGAUUAGGUAGUUGGUGGGGUAAAGGCUCACCAAGCCAACGAUCUGUAGCUGGUCUGAGAGGACGACCAGCCACACUGGGACUGAGACACGGCCCAGACUCCUACGGGAGGCAGCAGUGGGGAAUUUUGGACAAUGGGCGAAAGCCUGAUCCAGCAAUGCCGCGUGCAGGAAGAAGGCCUUCGGGUUGUAAACUGCUUUUGUACGGAGCGAAAAGGCUCUCUCUAAUACAGGGGGCUCAUGACGGCACCGUAAGAAUAAGCACCGGCUAACUACGUGCCAGCAGCCGCGGUAA
RNAcentral lists this ribosomal RNA (493 nucleotides) under uncultured bacterium. RNAcentral describes it as "partial 16S ribosomal RNA". It matches the Rfam family "Bacterial small subunit ribosomal RNA", at positions 29 to 523 of the family's 1533-position model. The record is from RNAcentral.